GCAUCAGUUGCCAUCCCUCCGUGUUAGCAGGUGCUACGCCGGGGAGCUUCCGUAUUGACUGACCCCUACAGAUUGUCGAUCUCCGAUUCUCUUCUCUGCUGAGCCAUCAAGUCAUGGAGAGAGUUGAUCUCUGCUCGACGUCGCUCAACCUCCGUCUGGUACUGCCGCACCUGUGCCCGUAAGUGGAGAAGCUCAUGUCCACGUGUCGUCUGGUCGCCUUAGCACUCACAAACACCAGCUUGAUCAGCAUUCUCCUCAAGCCAGAGCAACAUGCAACUAAGGGGAGAGAGUGCUGACCAACAAGAGGCAUCCAUUCUCCACAAGAGCCACAGGCUGGUAUACACAAGUUCAGGAUGCUUACAUAGAUGUGCAGUCCAUCUCAAGACCUGAAUGGCUUUUGGUUUUUAAUGAAGAUAGUAAUAGGAUGAGUAUUAAAUAAUUUUGUU
Molecule: long non-coding RNA, 446 nt
Organism: Eriocheir sinensis (Chinese mitten crab)
Lineage: Eukaryota; Metazoa; Arthropoda; Malacostraca; Decapoda; Varunidae
Exons: 3
Source: RefSeq, a predicted model, not a curated record